Molecule: long non-coding RNA, 1476 nt
Filed under: Erythranthe guttata (spotted monkey flower)
Lineage: Eukaryota; Viridiplantae; Streptophyta; Magnoliopsida; Lamiales; Phrymaceae
Description: long non-coding RNA (EGUT_LNC002944)
Source: RNAcentral
UAUUCACGGCUCCACCCUCUCUUUUUUCUUCCACUGCCGCAUUUGUCUCUUCUCUCCACCACCGUCGUAACCCCUCCUUCCCCUCUCUGUCCACCGCUCGCCCAUGAUCUCUCCACCGCUCGCCCACGAUCCCUCGUUUCAAUUUCCCUGUCUCCGCCCCUCGCCCUCGUUGCCGAACUGGUGCGCCAUCACUUUAUCACUGUUUCGGUCAAACCACUGCCUGGAAAUCUAUGACUACCGCAAUGGGCUCUCCGCCUCCCAAAAACCCCACUACCAUUGCCGCCGCCGUGGACGUCUCAGAUCCAAACGAGAAAUUGCCGCCGAUGACGACUCAGACCAAACUUCUGCUAUAGAUUCUUCCCUGAUGGCGUAUGGUAAUUGUCACAUAUCAAUCUAAAAAAUUAGAUGCGUGUAAAUGUUGAAUAAUUUGUUGAAUUAAUUAAGUGGGGGAUGGUAAUAUUCUUCGGGUGAACUUUUGGGUUGCUUUGUCAUUUAAAAAUAAAAAAUUGUAGUGAAUGUCCGUCAAAUUGAAGAAGGAUAUUCAACCAUGUUCUCACAUAAUUACUCCUAUGAGUUGAUUUAAUAUGUUAUUCUUUAGGUGUUUUAUAAUAGUGGAUUUCGAUAAGACUAGUGGAUCUCAAGUUAUUAUUUUUGCUUAUAAAAAAACGAGUGUUUGCGUAACGGUAAAUGCGUGCAAAAUAGUUGUUUUUGUUACAUUUUACAGUUGUUUUUUUUUCUAUUUUUGUAAUAAAUUUUGUUAUUUUUUAAAUUAUUUUUGAAGUGGAUUAUGCUAAUAUUUUAGUGGAUUUCGAUAUUUUUAUAGUGGUUUUGAUGAAAUUGUAGUGAAUUUCGAAUUCUUGAUUUGGAGAACGAUUUUUUUUUUAUGAAUUAAAUUUAAUGUUGUUGUCUUCUUUUUAAGUUGUUGUUUUCUUUCUCUUUGGAUCAAGUUCUAGCACAAAAGGAGUGAUGGCAGCAAGUAGGACGAGGUUGGGUGAUGCUCGGAUAACUGUACUAUUGUAUGCGAUAGCGGUGUUUAUUAAAGGUGAUUUUUUGUAGUGGUUUUAUGUAAGUUUUUAGUGGAUUUCGAUAAAAAAAAAUGAGUGGAUUUUCUCCUUGUAAAUUUUAUUUUUUGUAGUGAGUAGUUAUAUUCUUUUUUGUGGCUUUUAAUGAGCUUGUAGUGGAUUUGAGGUUUUUUGUUUUCAAAAUAUUUUUUUGAAUGAAUUUAAUUGACACUUUGUCUUCUUUUUCUUUGUUUUAGGUUUUCGAGCAGGCGUGGCGAUGGCGAUGGCAACGAGGGUGACUAGGUUAGGUGAUGCUCGGAUAAUUAUACUAUUGCUAGUGGUGGCGGCAUUUGUUGGCUCCUUUUUUAUAAAUAAAACAAAGUAAUAGUAGUAGUUUUGUUAAUUUAAUAGUGCAUUACGUUAAUUUGAUAUUGUAUUUCAUAUACAUCAUAAUAAACAAUGGUUUAUGUGUUAG